UACGUAGGGGCAAGCGUUAUCCGGAUUUACUGGGUGUAAAGGGUGCGUAGCCGGAAAUAAAAGUCAGAUGUGAAAGCCCGAGGCUCAACUUCGGGACUGCAUUUGAAACUCUAUUUCUAGAGUGCAGGAGAGGAAAGUGGAAUUCCUAGUGUAGCGGUGAAAUGCGUAGAUAUUAGGAGGAACACCAGUGGCGAAGGCGACUUUCUGGACUGUAACUGACGGUGAGGCACGAAAGCGUGGGGAGCAAACAGG
Molecule: ribosomal RNA, 252 nt
Filed under: uncultured bacterium
Lineage: Bacteria
Description: partial 16S ribosomal RNA
Rfam family: Bacterial small subunit ribosomal RNA
Source: RNAcentral